Molecule: ribosomal RNA, 359 nt
Filed under: uncultured bacterium
Lineage: Bacteria
Description: bacterial SSU rRNA
Rfam family: Bacterial small subunit ribosomal RNA
Source: RNAcentral
AAUGAACGCUGGCGGCAGGCCUAACACAUGCAAGUCGAACGGAUCCUUCGGGAUUAGUGGCGGACGGGUGAGUAACGCGUGGGAACAUACCCUUUGGUACGGAAUAGCCUCGGGAAACUGGGAGUAAUACCGUAUGUGCUCUUCGGAGGAAAGAUUUAUCGCCAAAGGAUUGGCCCGCGUUGGAUUAGGUAGUUGGUGGGGUAAUGGCCUACCAAGCCGACGAUCCAUAGCUGGUUUGAGAGGAUGAUCAGCCACACUGGGACUGAGACACGGCCCAGACUCCUACGGGAGGCAGCAGUGGGGAAUCUUAGACAAUGGGGGAAACCCGUACGAUCUAGCCAUGCCGCGUGAUCGAUGAA